UCCCGCCUGUGUUUGGGGAGCAUCAGCUGGAUGGCCGCUUGGUUUGGGAACAUGUGCGAUGCUCAAGUUUCAGUGGAAAAUUGGGACUGGACUUCUUACCAAGGGGUCAGAAGUGUAAGUUGCUACAGCCUUCUCCACAGAAAGAACUCUUCUGAUACAGCCAUACGAACUUCAGAUUAAAGGGAAAUGAAUGCUAUACUUGAACCAUGUUCUGUUUGCAGAAAGCAUUUUUUUAUAUAUAUAUUUUUUCUUUUACUUUGACACUUCCACCUGCUAAUUUCGUCACUAAGAGUGAUGACUCUUGGUUUUGUAUCAUGAGAAGUAAUGUAAUUCUCUGUUU
Oxyura jamaicensis (ruddy duck) is the source of this 340-nucleotide long non-coding RNA. RefSeq lists it as uncharacterized. The record is from RefSeq and is a predicted model, not a curated record. Lineage: Eukaryota; Metazoa; Chordata; Aves; Anseriformes; Anatidae. The transcript is spliced from 3 exons.